This 897-nucleotide ribosomal RNA is filed under the name uncultured marine archaeon. RNAcentral's name for it is "SSU rRNA". It matches the Rfam family "Archaeal small subunit ribosomal RNA", at positions 455 to 1354 of the family's 1478-position model. The record is from RNAcentral.
GUGCCAGCCGCCGCGGUAAUACCGGCAGCUCAAGUGGUCGUCGCUUUUAUUGGGCCUAAAACGUCCGUAGCCUGUUUGGUAAAUCUGAGGGUAAAUCAACCAGCUUAACUGGUUGAAUUCUGCAGAGACUGCCAGACUAGGGACCGGGAGAGGUGUGGGGUACUCUAGGGGUAGGGGUAAAAUCCUGUCAUCCUAGAGGACCACCAGUUGCGAAGGCGCCACACUGGAACGGAUCCGACGGUCAGGGACGAAGCCUAGGGGCACGAACCGGAUUAGAUACCCGGGUAGUCCUAGGUGUAAACGCUGUGGACUUGGUGUUGGGGAUUCUACGAGUAUGCCCAGUGCCGGAGUGAAGAUGUUAAGUCCACUGCCUGGGGAGUACGGUCGCAAGGCUGAAACUUAAAGGAAUUGGCGGGGGAGCACAGCAACGAGAGGAGCGUGCGGUUUAAUUGAAUUCAACGCCGGAAAACUCACCAGUGCCGACGGACAUAUGAAGAUCAGCGUGAUGAGCUUAUUGGAUUGUUCGAGAGGUAGUGCAUGGCCGUCGUCAGUUCGUACCGUAAGGCGUUCUGUUAAGUCAGAUAACGAACGAGACCCCUACCGUCUAUUUGCUAAACGGAUCUCCGGAUUCGUCGCACUAUAGCGAGACCGCUGGCGUGGAGUCAGAGGAAGGUGGGGGCAACGACAGGUCAGUAUGCUCCGAAUGCACUGGGCUACACGCGCGCUACAAAGGCCAGGACAAUGGGUCUGCCACUUCGAAAGAAGGCGCUAUCCCGAAACCUGGUCGUAGUUCGGAUUGGGGGCUGUAACCCGCCCCCAUGAAGCUGGAUUAGGUAGUAAUCGCGUCUCAAUAAGGCGCGGUGAAUAUGCCCCUGCUCCUUGCACACACCGCCCGUC